AUGGCCAUGUGGUCUAGCCUCGAGGAGUCGCCGGCCGGCGUCCAGGCCUAUGCACCGCCACAGCCACCCGCGCCCGCGCUGCCCAUCUACGUGUCGUGCAUGUCCAUUUGGCUAGGUGCGAAGAAGGAGGAAGAGCGGCAACACCUCUACAAAUGGGAGGGUCGUGCGCCCGUUUGGCUGCGGGCGGUUUUCGAGCCUAAGUACUUGGGGCUGCUAGUGCCGCAAGGAAGAAUGCAUAAAGGCAGAUUUGAGAGUACCCAAGAAAGGUUGAGUAAGAGGCUCGUGGAUUGGAGCGAGCAAUAUACAUCCACCGGUACUAAGGAGAUUCUUAUAAAGUCGGUGGCGCAGGCGAUCUCCACCUACAUCAUGAGCAUGUUCAAGCUUCCGGCUUCCGUUUGUGAUGACUUAACUCGGCUUAUGAGACAAUACUGGUGGGGCGUGGAAAACGGGAAGAUGGCUUGGUUGAGUUGGGAGAAGAUGAUCUUACCCAAAGCUAAAGGGGGGAUGGGCUUUUGA
This 516-nucleotide ribosomal RNA is filed under the name Triticum aestivum (bread wheat). RNAcentral describes it as "partial small subunit ribosomal RNA". The record is from RNAcentral. Lineage: Eukaryota; Viridiplantae; Streptophyta; Magnoliopsida; Poales; Poaceae.